AGUCGAACGGACUUACAUUGAAGCCUAGCGAUAUGUAAGUUAGUGGCGGACGGGUGAGUAACGCGUGGGUAACCUGCCUUGUACUGGGGGACAACAGUUGGAAACGACUGCUAAUACCGCAUAAGCGCACAGCUUCGCAUGAAGCAGUGUGAAAAACUCCGGUGGUACAAGAUGGACCCGCGUCUGAUUAGCUGGUUGGUGAGGUAACGGCCCACCAAGGCGACGAUCAGUAGCCGGCCUGAGAGGGUGAACGGCCACAUUGGGACUGAGACACGGCCCAAACUCCUACGGGAGGCAGCAGUGGGGAAUAUUGCACAAUGGGGGAAACCCUGAUGCAGCAACGCCGCGUGAGUGAAGAAGUAUUUCGGUAUGUAAAG
RNAcentral lists this ribosomal RNA (377 nucleotides) under uncultured bacterium. RNAcentral's name for it is "bacterial SSU rRNA". It matches the Rfam family "Bacterial small subunit ribosomal RNA", at positions 60 to 430 of the family's 1533-position model. The record is from RNAcentral.